UGGGGAAUCUUAGACAAUGGGCGCAAGCCUGAUCUAGCCAUGCCGCGUGUGUGAUGAAGGCCUUAGGGUCGUAAAGCACUUUCGCCAGGGAUGAUAAUGACAGUACCUGGUAAAGAAACCCCGGCUAACUCCGUGCCAGCAGCCGCGGUAAUACGGAGGGGGUUAGCGUUGUUCGGAAUUACUGGGCGUAAAGCGUACGUAGGCGGAUCAGCAAGUAUGGGGUGAAAUCCCGGGGCUCAACCCCGGAACUGCCUCGUAAACUGUUGGUCUUGAGUUCGAGAGAGGUGAGUGGAAUUCCGAGUGUAGAGGUGAAAUUCGUAGAUAUUCGGAGGAACACCAGUGGCGAAGGCGGCUCACUGGCUCGAUACUGACGCUGAGGUACGAAAGUGUGGGGAGCAAACA
This 402-nucleotide ribosomal RNA is filed under the name uncultured Paracoccaceae bacterium. RNAcentral's name for it is "bacterial SSU rRNA". It matches the Rfam family "Bacterial small subunit ribosomal RNA", at positions 355 to 774 of the family's 1533-position model. The record is from RNAcentral. Lineage: Bacteria; Pseudomonadati; Pseudomonadota; Alphaproteobacteria; Rhodobacterales; Paracoccaceae.